RNAcentral lists this non-coding RNA (109 nucleotides) under Phytobacter massiliensis. RNAcentral describes it as "Magnesium Sensor". It matches the Rfam family "Magnesium riboswitch aptamer (Magnesium responsive RNA element)". Rfam says of the family: The Magnesium sensor RNA element is a cis-regulatory element that regulates the expression of the magnesium transporter protein MgtA. It is located in the 5' UTR of this gene. The record is from RNAcentral. Lineage: Bacteria; Pseudomonadati; Pseudomonadota; Gammaproteobacteria; Enterobacterales; Enterobacteriaceae.
CUUACCGGAGGCGCAAUGGAUCCCGAUCCCACCCCUCUCCCUGAACGGAGAAUUCUCUUCCGGUAAGCCUGCCUGCGCUGUCUUGCCGGAAACGGCAGGCAGCGACGCA